UGGAGAGUCUUCUGUCAGAUAAU
RNAcentral lists this non-coding RNA (23 nucleotides) under Arabidopsis thaliana (thale cress). Lineage: Eukaryota; Viridiplantae; Streptophyta; Magnoliopsida; Brassicales; Brassicaceae. The record is from RNAcentral.